This 496-nucleotide ribosomal RNA is filed under the name uncultured bacterium. RNAcentral's name for it is "partial 16S ribosomal RNA". It matches the Rfam family "Bacterial small subunit ribosomal RNA", at positions 28 to 507 of the family's 1533-position model. The record is from RNAcentral.
GAUGAGCGCUGGCGGCGUGCCUAAUACAUGCAAGUCGAGCGAACAGAUAAGGAGCUUGCUCCUUUGACGUUAGCGGCGGACGGGUGAGUAACACGUGGGUAACCUACCUAUAAGACUGGGAUAACUUCGGGAAACCGGAGCUAAUACCGGAUAACAUUUGGAACCGCAUGGUUCUAAAGUGAAAGAUGGUUUUGCUAUCACUUAUAGAUGGACCCGCGCCGUAUUAGCUAGUUGGUAAGGUAACGGCUUACCAAGGCAACGAUACGUAGCCGACCUGAGAGGGUGAUCGGCCACACUGAAACUGAGAAACGGUCCAGACUCCUACGGGGGGCAGCAGUAGGGAAUCUUCCGAAAUGGGCGAAAGCCUGACGGAGCAACGCCGCGUGAGUGAUGAAGGGUUUCGGCUCGUAAACCCUGUUAUUAGGGAAGAACAAACGUGUAAGUAACUGUGCACGUCUUGACGGUACCUAAUCAGAAAGCCACGGCUAACUACGUG